UAUUAGAAAGAAUACCAAUUGCGAAGGCAGCUUUCUGGAUCAUUACUGACACUGAGGAACGAAAGCAUGGGUAGCGAAGAGGAUUAGAUACCCUCGUAGUCCAUGCCGUAAACGAUGUGUGUUAGACGUUGGAAAUUUAUUUUCAGUGUCGCAGCGAAAGCGAUAAACACACCGCCUGGGGAGUACGACCGCAAGGUUAAAACUCAAAUGAAUUGACGGGGACCCGCACAAGUAGUGGAGCAUGUGGUUUAAUUCGAAGAUACGCGCAGAACCUUACCAACACUUGACAUGUUCGUCGCGACUUUAAGAGAUUAAAGUUUUCGGUUCGGCCGGACGAAACACAGGUGCUGCAUGGCUGUCGUCAGCUCGUGUCGUGAGAUGUUGGGUUAAGUCCCGCAACGAGCGCAACCCUCACUUUUAGUUGCCAUCAUUUAGUUGGGCACUCUGAAAGAACUGCCAGUGAUAAGCUGGAGGAAGGUGGGGAUGACGUCAAGUCCUCAUGGCCCUUACGUGUUGGGCUACACACGUGCUACAAUGGUAUCUACAACAGGAAGCAAAACGGCGACGUUAAGCAAAUCCUCAAAAGAUACCUCAGUUCGGAUUGCACUCUGCAACUCGAGUGCAUGAAGCUGGAAUUACUAGUAAUCGUGGAUCAGCGUGCCACGGUGAAUGCGUUCCCGGGCCUUGUACACACCGCCCA
RNAcentral lists this ribosomal RNA (700 nucleotides) under uncultured bacterium. Its description in RNAcentral is "bacterial SSU rRNA". It matches the Rfam family "Bacterial small subunit ribosomal RNA", at positions 695 to 1396 of the family's 1533-position model. The record is from RNAcentral.